GUCGCGAGAGCUCAGCUGGUAGAGCAUCUACCCGGUAAGCAGAGGGUCGCCGGCCCGAUUCCGACUCGCGGCG
RNAcentral lists this transfer RNA (73 nucleotides) under Fasciola gigantica. It matches the Rfam family "tRNA". Rfam says of the family: Transfer RNA (tRNA) molecules are approximately 80 nucleotides in length. The record is from Rfam by way of RNAcentral. Lineage: Eukaryota; Metazoa; Platyhelminthes; Trematoda; Plagiorchiida; Fasciolidae.